This 491-nucleotide ribosomal RNA is filed under the name uncultured bacterium. RNAcentral's name for it is "partial 16S ribosomal RNA". It matches the Rfam family "Bacterial small subunit ribosomal RNA", at positions 29 to 507 of the family's 1533-position model. The record is from RNAcentral.
AGUGAACGCUGGCGGUAGGCCUAACACAUGCAAGUCGAACGGCAGCACAGUAAGAGCUUGCUCUUACGGGUGGCGAGUGGCGGACGGGUGAGGAAUACAUCGGAAUCUACUUUUUCGUGGGGGAUAACGUAGGGAAACUUACGCUAAUACCGCAUACGACCUACGGGUGAAAGCAGGGGAUCUUCGGACCUUGCGCGAUUGAAUGAGCCGAUGUCGGAUUAGCUAGUUGGCGGGGUAAAGGCCCACCAAGGCGACGAUCCGUAGCUGGUCUGAGAGGAUGAUCAGCCACACUGGAACUGAGACACGGUCCAGACUCCUACGGGAGCAGCAGUGGGGAAUAUUGGACAAUGGGCGCAAGCCUGAUCCAGCCAUACCGCGUGGGUGAAGAAGGCCUUCGGGUUGUAAAGCCCUUUUGUUGGGAAAGAAAAGCAGCAGGUUAAUACCCCGCUGUUCUGACGGUACCCAAAGAAUAAGCACCGGCUAACUUCGUG